ACGGCGAGUGAACAGGGAAAAGCCCAGCACUGAAGCCUGUGACCAUUUGGUUACUAGGCAAUGUAGUGUUUAGGUUGUUCCGCAGAGGCACUGCUCCACCCUAAGUCCGGCAAUGAUCACGGUAGUACGGACAUGGCCCACAGAGGGUGAAAGGCCCGUGGGGGUGGAGAUUCGGCAUGACAGUGCUUCUCUGGAUAGACCUUGGAGUCGGGUUGUUUGUGAAUGCAGCCCAAAGCGGGUGGUAAACUCCAUCCAAGGCUAAAUACAUACACGAGUCCGAUAGCGAACAAGUACCGUGAGGGAAAGUUGAAAAGUACUUUGAAGAGAGAGUAAACAGUGCGUGAAACCGCUCAGAGGUAAACGGGUGGAGUUGAACCGCAGGCUUUGCGAAUUCAGCUGGUGAAUAUGGUUUGAACUUGGUCAAAUCGGGUUAUUCCAAGGGCGGAGUAAAAUCCGGACCGCGUCUUCGGACGAGCUUGCGCGAUACUGCUUACCAAGCGUUUGUGCGCCUUGGAGUGAGAAAACCCUCUCGCCAGUGCACUUUUUCAGAGUCGUCAUCAUGACCGUCAGCUUCUCUGGCUGUCGUUGUUAAACCAGUCGAUUAUUGUCCUUGUGGCUUUUUUUGAUCGGGAUGGCAGGUAGCUCAUUGGACUGCUUGUGGUUCGCCACGAGUUUGGCCUUCGAGUGUUAUCAGCUGACAGCGACGGUUCAGUUCAAGCUGGCGGAGACUAGAGCUUGUGGUGUGAGCGAGAGCGCUUUGAUGGAGGAUGAGUUCGAGUUUGGUUACCAUGUUGCCUGUUCAAGCAGGCCUGGUGAUAGCUUGGAUUCUUAAUCUGUUGGCAGCUUUUGUGACACUAUGCCCAAGGGCUCAUAGUCUGUGGUGCAGUGGUAGAUUAUCCACCCGGCCCGUCUUGAAACACGGACCAAGGAGAGUAACAUGUGCGCGAGUCAUUGAGACUUACGAAACUCAAAGGCGCAGUGAAAGUGAAGGUCUAGCUUGUCUGGACUGUGGUGAGAUCUUGCUGUUCCUCACACGUGGUAUUACCAAGUAUAGAGCGGUAGGCGCAUCACCGGCCCGUCCUAUGACAAUGUUCACGGACGUUAAACAGUUGGGGCGGAGCAUGAGCGUAUAUGUUGAGACCCGAAAGAUGGUGAACUAUGCUUGCGCAGGUUGAAGCCAGAGGAAACUCUGGUGGAGGACCGCAGCGGUUCUGACGUGCAAAUCGAUCGCCAGACGUGAGUAUAGGGGCGAAAGACUAAUCG
RNAcentral lists this ribosomal RNA (1263 nucleotides) under Lepidophyllum steenstrupi. RNAcentral's name for it is "partial large subunit ribosomal RNA". It matches the Rfam family "Eukaryotic large subunit ribosomal RNA", at positions 86 to 937 of the family's 3401-position model. The record is from RNAcentral. Lineage: Eukaryota; Metazoa; Platyhelminthes; Trematoda; Plagiorchiida; Zoogonidae.